UUUCGCAAUGCCCGAAAGGGUGACGAAGCGACGCCGCGUGCGGGAAGAAGGCCUUCGGGUUGUAAACCGCUGUCGGGAGUUAAGAAAUGUAAGGAUGUUAAUAGCAUCUUUGCUUGACUAAGGCUCCGGAGGAAGCCACGGCUAACUCUGUGCCAGCAGCCGCGGUAAUACAGAGGCGGCAAGCGUUGUUCGGAAUUAUUGGGCGUAAAGAGCACGUAGGCGGCUGUGUAAGUCGGUUGUGAAAGCCUUCCGCUCAACGGGAGAACGGCAUCCGAUACUGCAUGGCUUGAGUGCGGGAGGGGAGAGUGGAACUUCUGGUGGAGCGGUGAAAUGCGUAGAUAUCAGAAGGAACACCGGCGGCGAAGGCGACUCUCUGGCCCGUAACUGACGCUGAGUGUGCGAAAGCUAGGGGAGCAAACGGGAUUAGAUACCCCGGUAGUCCUAGCCGUAAACGAUGGGCACUAAGUAGAGGGGUUUUA
Molecule: ribosomal RNA, 479 nt
Filed under: uncultured anaerobic ammonium-oxidizing bacterium
Lineage: Bacteria
Description: bacterial SSU rRNA
Rfam family: Bacterial small subunit ribosomal RNA
Source: RNAcentral